Molecule: ribosomal RNA, 497 nt
Filed under: uncultured bacterium
Lineage: Bacteria
Description: partial 16S ribosomal RNA
Rfam family: Bacterial small subunit ribosomal RNA
Source: RNAcentral
GAUGAACGCUGGCGGCGUGCCUAAUACAUGCAAGUCGAGCGAACAGAUGAGGAGCUUGCUCCUCUGACGUUAGCGGCGGACGGGUGAGUAACACGUGGAUAACCUACCUAUAAGACUGGGAUAACUUCGGGAAACCGGAGCUAAUACCGGAUAAUAUAUUGAACCGCAUGGUUCAAUAGUGAAAGACGGUUUUGCUGUCACUUAUAGAUGGAUCCGCGCCGCAUUAGCUAGUUGGUAAGGUAACGGCUUACCAAGGCGACGAUGCGUAGCCGACCUGAGAGGGUGAUCGGCCACACUGGAACUGAGACACGGUCCAGACUCCUACGGGAGGCAGCAGUAGGGAAUCUUCCGCAAUGGGCGAAAGCCUGACGGAGCAACGCCGCGUGAGUGAUGAAGGUCUUCGGAUCGUAAAACUCUGUUAUUAGGGAAGAACAAAUGUGUAAGUAACUAUGAACGUCUUGACGGUACCUAAUCAGAAAGCCACGGCUAACUACGUG